Molecule: long non-coding RNA, 491 nt
Organism: Sinocyclocheilus grahami
Lineage: Eukaryota; Metazoa; Chordata; Actinopteri; Cypriniformes; Cyprinidae
Exons: 4
Source: RefSeq, a predicted model, not a curated record
GAGAAAUCGCACGCCCAAGUCCUGCAAGUCUUCAGGGGGCUUGACCCUCUGCGGGUUCGCAAAGAACACGUACUUCUGCGGCCUAACUACCUUGGACAACCAGAAAGAAUAUUGGUCAAGCAGUUUUGAUGGUGAAAAUCAUGGCUAUAUGUCUAUCAGCUAAUCCAGCAUCAAAACCAGCACAAACCAACCUGAACCAGAAUGGAAAUCUCUGGCAGUUCAAGCUGUUUUUUUCACCAGCUCUUGGAUCGUAUUUCCAAACUUGAACAGGAAUGUUGGCAUGAACGUACGGACCCUCCUGAGAAAAUAGAGAUCGACUGUGACACUGUGGCUGUGUCUCAUAAUCUUGUGAGCUGCCUGCCUACACAGCAUUUUUGGCCAUCAUGGGUGUGUGUGAUGCCCAAACAAGCAGUCUAGAUGUCUCCGGUUGUAGGUUUUGUCAUCGAUACUUGCAGUAAAUACGCUGCGACAUCAGCGGUUAGACAGUGAAC